GGAGAGCUCAUUACUUUUCAGGCAAUCCAUUCCCCCAUUCAACCACUCAAAUCAAGUCAUUGUUAGAACUCAUAGACCCAAGUCCAAAUUUUCCUACCCACAGCCCUCAGACUCUGGUCUGAUAUUUGCCCGUGAGAGAAGAAAUUCUGAACUAUGCUGGCAAUUAGAAAAGAAAACCCUAUGUGGUAAUUUACAUAAUUGACUAUCGCAAGUUUAUAGUAAUAAAGAAUUUUCCCAA
This 238-nucleotide long non-coding RNA is filed under the name Homo sapiens (human). Its description in RNAcentral is "non-protein coding lnc-PAPOLA-3:1". Lineage: Eukaryota; Metazoa; Chordata; Mammalia; Primates; Hominidae. The record is from RNAcentral.